AGAAAAUUGCUCCAGGCCUUAAUCAUUUGUGUUGUUUCUCUCUUCCUUCAGUGUGUAUCUGUCUGUCUGGUAAUGAGACAGGCAAACAAAUGCCGUGCUCCAGAGCCGAUGUGAUGAGACUCGGCGGGGCAAGCAGGUAGCUGGGGGAGGCAGAAAGACGGAAGGCAGAGCGGGAGCACCGUUGUGCCACAGGGUGAUUCGACGCGGCAGUGGUCCUUAGGCUGCAGGAUGCUGUCCCGGUCUCGGCACUGGCCCGCCGCCCCGUGGGUCUCUUUUGGCACUGGUGCUUCCCACAGACCUUUGUGUUUCCCAGCUUUAGCCUUUGGAGCAGGAGCAUACCUGCUUCCCUACUGAAUGCUAUUUAGCACAUCGUUUCUGGAUAGUCCUCCUUGUUUCCCGGAGCCUGGGUUCAAAUCCCAGCUCUGCACAGCUUACUGGCUGUGUGACUUUGGCCAAGUUGUUUAACUGCUCUGUGCCUCAGUUUCCUCAUCUGUGGAUGAGGCAGUAACACAGCCCUCACAGGACUUCUGGGAAGGCUACAGGGGUGAAGAAGGCUCACGGGUCUAGAGUAUCAUUCAGUGCAGAGCAGACACCCGCAGGUGAUGCGUUAUUCUCUGUUGGCUUCAGCCUCUGAGCAGAAAAGAUGUGUGAGUAGUGAAGCCAUGCUUCCAGAAGCAACCACCUCCCUUUACCUUUCAAGGCAAACUCGGACCCCAGUAUGUUUGAUUUCAGGGGCGGGUAAUGUUUCCCCAAGAUUGGGACUUGGGGAGUCAUAGGGUUAUCAACCUCUUUGGCUAAGGAAGACCGUCACAAUCACUAUCUACUGACACCCUCUUUCAGGGAGGAAUACCCCAAAGAAAAAAGGACGUCAUCUCUGAACAAAGAAGAGUCAUUGUCAGCAAUGGGGAUGAGCAACUUGAAAAGAACAUAACUGUCAUGGAUGCAUUGUGCUUUUUCUCUUUUUUCUUUCUCUUCUCCCUUUCAGAUCACCGCCCGUCUGCAGAUCAGCCUUCAGGACCACUGAUCUAAGGAUCAUUUCGACCCCUUAGUCAUUGACUAAGAGGCUAGAGGGGAAGGAAAAACUUUAAGCCUCAAAAAGGGGCUACAGGCAGGGCUGAGGGCCUCCAUGUUCCUCCAAUAAGAACACAAAAGUGUUCGGGGAAAGUCUGGGUCAAAGCAAGAGCCUCCUUGUUUGCAGAGCAAAGCAAUUUAGGACCUCACACCCACACCCACCCCGCAAGGCGGACGCUGGAUUUCCGAGAGCAGCGAAUCAGGAUUCCAAGUGGACAAGUGUCCGGAAGGGCCACUCCUGCUGGCAUGUCACCAGGAUACAUGUCUCGUCACAGCCACUGCUCUCUCCCCAGAUGGAGCAGUUCCCCUUGCCGCUGUGAAGUCUGUGACAGCUGAAGCCGAGAAAACGCGGGGACAAACAGGUCCCGUCAGGACACCGGGCAGCUUCCUAGCCUAGUGACGAAUUGCAGGCGACUGGGGAGAAUUUAAAACCAACCCAGCUGCCACCCAGGAGAGUGAGUAAUCUCAACACUUAAGGAGAAGCCCCAGACCGGCAGUCAUUCAGACACAGGAGACAGUUUUCCUGGACCCAGAUGGCACCCAAGUGUCUCACCCUGGGGCUUCUCUUGGACAAAUGGACCUACCCCAUCCCCUGGUAGGAGAUGGCCACCUGAUGUGUCCACCCCUCCUGCGCCCCCCUCCCCCCACCAUGGCAUUUAUGUUCAUUCUGUCUUUCCAUCUGUCUCCAGAACUUCCUCCAGAAUCUCUGGAGCUUCUCUAGGGUCCACACAGCUGCCACAAGUCUUGACCCAUCCAUCACGAUUCCCUGGUUUGCUCAGUGUUUGAAAAUCAGAACACGAGUUAAAAAUGCUUAAUAACAAAAGUCUUGGAGAUCACACACAUUGACCUGACCUCACGUCUCUUACCCUCCCAAUGUUUCAAACAUGCAACUUCCAGCAUCCUCUCUGGGGAUCAGCCCUUGGAAGGAAAUAGUUGGCUCUAAGUGAAGUCUGCUCUUAGCACCCGUAUGGAAGCCUUAAGGUGAUACAGGCGCACAAGGGCUGGCACUUUCUCUCCGGGCAAAAGGACGACGUCUGGCGGCACUGGCACUCUGGGCAGUGGCAGGGCUGGAAGGGGCUCAGUGGAGGAUAAAGAGCUCAACAGAGGCUUGCAGUCAUAUUUCUACGCGAGGUGAGGGAAGUACACCAUGACUGGGGAAAAGAAUGAGCUUCUUCCAAAAAAAAAAAAAAAAAGAAUGAAAAAAAAAGAUUGUAUCGUCUUGAGCAAAUAUGUAUGCUUCUUACAAAGUGCCUGCACUUCAAAUGUUCAAAGAGGAGAGCUUGCUUUCUUUCACAUCAGCCUGGACUCAUCCACCACCAAAAGGUGCACCUCACUUCACUCUUGGCUGACGGCCACAGUUGCUGCCUGCUCCCAGAUCUGGUCACAGCCAAGGACCAGAGCCCCAGGGAGGCAUUUUCACAAGUGCGCAAGUUAGAAGUUGAAAACCAUCACCGAGGAAAAGAAACGAGUCUCUCAGAAAAAGCUUCGGGAAGAAAAUCCUGCCCCUCAUAACCCAUCAUACGAUUACUUGGGCAGGACAGGACCUCUGAGACUACCAUACCAGAAGCUUCAUUUUACAAGAAAGGGGAUGGAGAACUUAAGAAAAGUGUAUCUCAGUUUUUUCGACCUGAUAUGCAUAUACAAUUCUCUUGUUCACUUCUCAUUCCUUAAUCCUUUGAAUAUUUACUCCAGAAAGACAAGUCUUCCUUCCUUUUUUUCUUCCUUUUUUUCUCCUCCCUCCCUCCCUUCCUUCCUUUUUUCCCCUUCCUUCCUUCACUCUUUCCUUCCCUUCCUCCUUCCCUCCCUCUCUU
Molecule: long non-coding RNA, 2882 nt
Organism: Felis catus (domestic cat)
Lineage: Eukaryota; Metazoa; Chordata; Mammalia; Carnivora; Felidae
Exons: 3
Source: RefSeq, a predicted model, not a curated record